This 475-nucleotide ribosomal RNA is filed under the name uncultured organism. RNAcentral describes it as "partial 16S ribosomal RNA". It matches the Rfam family "Bacterial small subunit ribosomal RNA", at positions 335 to 801 of the family's 1533-position model. The record is from RNAcentral.
ACUCCUGCGGGAGGCAGCAGUGGGGAAUUUUGGACAAUGGGCGAAAGCCUGAUCCAGCAAUGCCGCGUGAGUGAAGAAGGCCUUCGGGUUGUAAAGCUCUUUUGUCAGGGAAGAAACGGUGAAAGCUAAUAUCUUUUGCUAAUGACGGUACCUGAAGAAUAAGCACCGGCUAACUACGUGCCAGCAGCCGCGGUAAUACGUAGGGUGCAAGCGUUAAUCGGAAUUACUGGGCGUAAAGCGUGCGCAGACGGUUUUGUAAGUCUGAUGUGAAAUCCCCGGGCUCAACCUGGGAAUUGCAUUGGAGACUGCAAGGCUAGAAUCUGGCAGAGGGGGGUAGAAUUCCACGUGUAGCAGUGAAAUGCGUAGAUAUGUGGAGGAACACCGAUGGCGAAGGCAGCCCCCUGGGUCAAGAUUGACGCUCAUGCACGAAAGCGUGGGGAGCAAACAGGAUUAGAAACCCUAGUAGUCCCAUGAU